CCUACGGGUGGCAGCAGUAGGGAAUAUUGCACAAUGGGGGAAACCCUGAAGCAGCAACGCCGCGUGAGGGAUGAAGGUUUUCGGAUUGUAAAGCUCUAUUGUUAGAGAAGAAAAUGACGGUACCUGACUAAUAAGCACCGGCUAACUACGUGCCAGCAGCCGCGGUAAUACGUAGGGUGCAAGCGUUACUCGGAAUCACUGGGCGUAAAGGGCGCGUAGGCGGGUUAGCAAGUCAGAUGUGAAAUCCUAUGGCUUAACCAUGGAACUGCAUUUGAAACUGUUAAUCUAGAGUGUAGGAGAGGUAGGUGGAAUUCUUGGUGUAGGGGUGAAAUGCGUAGAGAUCAGGAGGAAUACUGAUUGCGAAGGCGGCUUGCUAGAACAUAACUGACGUUGAGGCGCGAAAGCGUGGGGAGCAAACAGGAUUAGAUACCCGGGUAGUC
Molecule: ribosomal RNA, 440 nt
Filed under: uncultured bacterium
Lineage: Bacteria
Description: partial 16S ribosomal RNA
Rfam family: Bacterial small subunit ribosomal RNA
Source: RNAcentral